This is a small nuclear RNA of 121 nucleotides. Its record names the gene U5. It matches the Rfam family "U5 spliceosomal RNA". From Rfam's summary of the family: U5 RNA is a component of both types of known spliceosome. The precise function of this molecule is unknown, though it is known that the 5' loop is required for splice site selection and p220 binding, and that both the 3' stem-loop and the Sm site are important for Sm protein binding and cap methylation. The record is from Ensembl.
AUCCUCUGGUUUCUCUUCAGAUUGUAUACAUUUUUUGCCUUUUACUAAAAUAAAGAUUUCCAUGGAGAGGAACAAUUCUGAGCAUUUACCCAAAUUCUUGAGAUCUUGUGUUUGCAAGGGA